ACGGGAGGCAGCAGUGGGGAAUAUUGCACAAUGGGGGAAACCCUGAUGCAGCGACGCCGCGUGAGUGAAGAAGUAUUUCGGUAUGUAAAGCUCUAUCAGCAGGAAAGAAAAUGACGGUACCUGACUAAGAAGCCCCGGCUAACUACGUGCCAGCAGCCGCGGUAAUACGUAGGGGGCAAGCGUUAUCCGGAUUUACUGGGUGUAAAGGGGGCGUAGACGGCUUUGCAAGUCUGAAGUGAAAGCCCGGGGCUCAACCCCGGAACUGCUUUGGAAACUGUAGAGCUGGAGUGCAGGAGAGGUAAGUGGAAUUCCUAGUGUAGCGGUGAAAUGCGUAGAUAUUAGGAGGAACACCAGUGGCGAAGGCGGCUUACUGGACUGUAACUGACGUUGAGGCUCGAAGGCGUGGGGAGCAAACAGGAUUAGAUACCCUGGUA
This 434-nucleotide ribosomal RNA is filed under the name uncultured Clostridium sp. RNAcentral describes it as "partial 16S ribosomal RNA". It matches the Rfam family "Bacterial small subunit ribosomal RNA", at positions 341 to 792 of the family's 1533-position model. Lineage: Bacteria; Bacillati; Bacillota; Clostridia; Eubacteriales; Clostridiaceae. The record is from RNAcentral.